GACACAAUAACCGCUUCAAUGCUGUCAUCUUCCACCAGAGUUAUACCAGUGUCCAUUAUUUCCUCAGGGAGCAAGCUGUUUACUUCUGCUGAAACCACCUCCAUUUUAGCAGUUGUGGCAGUGAUGGCCGUAGCAGAAGUCUCACGCAAGCAAACAACUGUCUCAGAAUGGGCUUUCUUAGCCCCAGAAGCUCAAUCAACAGCCUACCUCGGGACCAAGGCAAAACUCUGCCCUUCCACCAUAAGGUGGUAAAUGGCUGUUAAACAUCUUUAAUUCAAUGGAAACUUAAAUGGAAAUGCAACAGAAUUUUGAACAACACUGACUUCCAACCUUCUGCAUUGCAAAAAACCAGAAAAAUAAAGACACUGCUUCAAGUUUGAAAUUAAAACCUGGUAAGUUAAAAGAACGGAGACUGCAUUGGGACCAAAGUUGAGUGCCCAGCCUGAGUGGCCCAAUUGUGUCCAUCCUACUGACUGCAGACCUACAACUGAUAAUCAUAAAAAAGAUAGAAAGGAACAACUUGAAACUUGCUGU
Molecule: long non-coding RNA, 534 nt
Organism: Gallus gallus (chicken)
Lineage: Eukaryota; Metazoa; Chordata; Aves; Galliformes; Phasianidae
Exons: 4
Source: RefSeq, a predicted model, not a curated record